RNAcentral lists this ribosomal RNA (340 nucleotides) under Clostridioides difficile. Its description in RNAcentral is "bacterial SSU rRNA". It matches the Rfam family "Bacterial small subunit ribosomal RNA", at positions 1203 to 1533 of the family's 1533-position model. Lineage: Bacteria; Bacillati; Bacillota; Clostridia; Peptostreptococcales; Peptostreptococcaceae. The record is from RNAcentral.
UAUGCUUAGGGCUACACACGUGCUACAAUGGGUAGUACAGAGGGUUGCCAAGCCGUAAGGUGGAGCUAAUCCCUUAAAGCUACUCUCAGUUCGGAUUGUAGGCUGAAACUCGCCUACAUGAAGCUGGAGUUACUAGUAAUCGCAGAUCAGAAUGCUGCGGUGAAUGCGUUCCCGGGUCUUGUACACACCGCCCGUCACACCACGGGAGUUGGAGACGCCCGAAGCCGAUUAUCUAACCUUUUGGAAGAAGUCGUCGAAGGUGGAAUCAAUAACUGGGGUGAAGUCGUAACAAGGUAGCCGUAUCGGAAGGUGCGGCUGGAUCACCUCCUUUCUAAGGAGA